This 1026-nucleotide ribosomal RNA is filed under the name human gut metagenome. RNAcentral's name for it is "bacterial SSU rRNA". It matches the Rfam family "Bacterial small subunit ribosomal RNA", at positions 277 to 1310 of the family's 1533-position model. The record is from RNAcentral.
CGACGGGUAGCCGGCCUGAGAGGGCGACCGGCCACAUUGGGACUGAGAUACGGCCCAGACUCCUACGGGAGGCAGCAGUGGGGAAUAUUGCACAAUGGGCGCAAGCCUGAUGCAGCGACGCCGCGUGCGGGAUGACGGCCUUCGGGUUGUAAACCGCUUUUGACUGGGAGCAAGCCCUUCGGGGUGAGUGUACCUUUCGAAUAAGCACCGGCUAACUACGUGCCAGCAGCCGCGGUAAUACGUAGGGUGCAAGCGUUAUCCGGAAUUAUUGGGCGUAAAGGGCUCGUAGGCGGUUCGUCGCGUCCGGUGUGAAAGUCCAUCGCUUAACGGUGGAUCCGCGCCGGGUACGGGCGGGCUUGAGUGCGGUAGGGGAGACUGGAAUUCCCGGUGUAACGGUGGAAUGUGUAGAUAUCGGGAAGAACACCAAUGGCGAAGGCAGGUCUCUGGGCCGUCACUGACGCUGAGGAGCGAAAGCGUGGGGAGCGAACAGGAUUAGAUACCCUGGUAGUCCACGCCGUAAACGGUGGAUGCUGGAUGUGGGGACCAUUCCACGGUCUCCGUGUCGGAGCCAACGCGUUAAGCAUCCCGCCUGGGGAGUACGGCCGCAAGGCUAAAACUCAAAGAAAUUGACGGGGGCCCGCACAAGCGGCGGAGCAUGCGGAUUAAUUCGAUGCAACGCGAAGACCCUUACCUGGGCUUGACAUGUUCCCGACAGCCGUAGAGAUACGGUCUCCCUUCGGGGCGGGUUCACAGGUGGUGCAUGGUCGUCGUCAGCUCGUGUCGUGAGAUGUUGGGUUAAGUCCCGCAACGAGCGCAACCCUCGCCCUGUGUUGCCAGCACGUCGUGGUGGGAACUCACGGGGGACCGCCGGGGUCAACUCGGAGGAAGGUGGGGAUGACGUCAGAUCAUCAUGCCCCUUACGUCCAGGGCUUCACGCAUGCUACAAUGGCCGGUACAACGGGAUGCGACACCGCGAGGUGGAGCGGAUCCCUUAAAACCGGUCUCAGUUCGGAUUGGAGUCUGCAA